RNAcentral lists this ribosomal RNA (253 nucleotides) under uncultured bacterium. RNAcentral's name for it is "partial 16S ribosomal RNA". It matches the Rfam family "Bacterial small subunit ribosomal RNA", at positions 524 to 776 of the family's 1533-position model. The record is from RNAcentral.
UACGAAGGGUGCAAACGUUGCUCGGAAUUAUUGGGCGUAAAGCGCACGUAGGCGGCUUAGCAAGUCGGAUGUGAAAGCCCUCGGCUCAACCAAGGAAGUGCAUCCGAAACUGCUGAGCUUGAGUACUUAAGAGGAUCGCGGAAUUUCCGGUGGAGCGGUGAAAUGCGUUGAUAUCGGAAGGAACGCCGGUGGCGAAAGCGACACACUGGACCUCUUCUGACGCUGAGGCGCGAAAGCUAGGGGAGCAAACGGG